GAUGAAGAACGCAGCGAAAUGCGAUACGUAAUGUGAAUUGCAGAAUUCAGUGAAUCAUCGAAUCUUUGAACGCAUAUUGCGCUCUCUGGUAUUCCGGAGAGCAUGCUUGAUUGAGUAUCAGUAAACACCUCAACUUCCAUAUCUUUUUUGAAAUGGGAGUUGGACUUGAGUGAUCCCAACGCUUUUCCUCACCGAAAAGUGGCGGGUUACUUGAAAUGCAGGUGCAGCUGGACUUUUCUCUGAGCUAUAAGCAUAUCUAUUUAGUCUGCCUAAAAAACAGAUUAUUACCUUUGCUGCAGCUAACAUAAAGGAGAUUAGUUCUUGUGCUGACUGAUGCAGGAUUCACAAAGACAGGCUUCGGCCGACUUUGUAAACUCGAUCUCAAAUCAAGUAAGACUACCCGCUGAACUUAAGCAUAUCAAUAAGCGGAGGA
This 433-nucleotide unclassified non-coding RNA is filed under the name soil metagenome. RNAcentral describes it as "partial contains 5.8S ribosomal RNA, internal transcribed spacer 2, and large subunit ribosomal RNA". The stretch from base 1 to 120 matches the Rfam family "5.8S ribosomal RNA", at positions 35 to 154 of the family's 154-position model. The record is from RNAcentral.